GGCAGCAUAGGUGCUUGCACCUGAUGGCGAGUGGCGAACGGGUGAGUAAUGCAUCGGAACGUGCCCAGUCGUGGGGGAUAACGCAGCGAAAGCUGUGCUAAUACCGCAUACGAUCUAUGGAUGAAAGCGGGGGACCUUCGGGCCUCGCGCGAUUGGAGCGGCCGAUGUUAGAUUAGGUAGUUGGUGAGGUAAAGGCUCACCAAGCCUACGAUCUAUAGCUGGUCUGAGAGGACGACCAGCCACACUGGAACUGAGACACGGUCCAGACUCCUACGGGAGGCAGCAGUGGGGAAUUUUGGACAAUGGGCGAAAGCCUGAUCCAGCAAUACCGCGUGCAGGAAGAAGGCCUUCGGGUUGUAAACUGCUUUUGUACGGAACGAAACGGUCUGGAUUAAUACUCUGGGCUAAUGACGGUACCGUAAGAAUAAGCACCGGCUAACUACGUGCCAGCAGCCGCGGUAAUACGUAGGGUGCAAGCGUUAAUCGGAAUUACUGGGCGUAAAGCGUGCGCAGGCGGUUUUGUAAGACAGGCGUGAAAUCCCCGGGCUCAACCUGGGAAUUGCGCUUGUGACUGCAAGGCUAGAGUACGGUAGAGGGGGGUAGAAUUCCGCGUGUAGCAGUGAAAUGCGUAGAUAUGCGGAGGAACACCGAUGGCGAAGGCAGCCCUCUGGACCUGUACUGACGCUCAUGCACGAAAGCGUGGGGAGCAAACAGGAUUAGAUACCCUGGUAGUCCACGCCCUAAACGAUGUCAACUGGUUGUUGGGAAUUUACUUUCUCAGUAACGAAGCUAACGCGUGAAGUUGACCGCCUGGGGAGUACGG
RNAcentral lists this ribosomal RNA (823 nucleotides) under uncultured beta proteobacterium. RNAcentral's name for it is "bacterial SSU rRNA". It matches the Rfam family "Bacterial small subunit ribosomal RNA", at positions 68 to 885 of the family's 1533-position model. Lineage: Bacteria; Pseudomonadati; Pseudomonadota; Betaproteobacteria. The record is from RNAcentral.